GGUAUCACGGAUUGUGAAUAUGUGUGUGUUUGUGGAAGUGUCCUUGUAUAUGUAUGUAGCCCAGUUUUUGUGCUUGUGUAUAGGAAAUCACUGUUUGAGACCUUGAGUGUAGAGACCCAAUUUUUGUAUUUUUAUACAUGUGUAUGUAUAUAUAAUUUUGAUUCCAAUGCCAGUGUGUGGAUUUUUUUUCCCCACCAUGAAGCAGUUUUCCUUCCAACACAUCAGCUGAAUGUCUUACACCCAUUCUGACACUAUGUAGCUGGCUAUAGUGUCAGCUCCUACAGCUCAGUCCCCAAGCCUGUCGCUAACCCCCACACAAGUCUCCAACAUCAGCUGCCAAUCACAGUCCAGGUUUUCACCUGUGCAUUAGACUGACCAGCAAAUGAUUCCCCUUCUAGGCUUUGGUUAAUUUGCUAGAGUGACUCAUGGAACUAAGAGAAAUAUUUUACUUCCUAGACCACUGGUUAUCAUAAAAGGAUAUAUAACUCAGGAUGGCUAGAUGGAAGAGAUGCAUGGGCCAAAGUACAUGGGAAGGGCCUUGGAGCUUCCAUGUUCCCUGAGCGUGCCACUUUUCCCACACUUCCAUGUGUUUACCCCUCAGCAGCUCUCUAAAAGCCAUCCUUUGGGUUUUUAUGGAGGCUUCAUUACAUGGCCAUGACUGACUAAACCACUGACGAUUAAACUCAAUUUCCAGCCCUUCGCCCCUCCUAGGAGGUCUGGGGUGGAAAUGAAAGUUUCAACCCUCUGAUGCUUCGUUGGUGUCCUGGCAACCAGCCCCCAUCCUAGAGGCUUUCCACAACCAGUCAUCUGAUGAAGGGUUUUCUUGGAGCAAGCUUCUUGGGCUGAGAAAGUCUUCUGAGUACCUGGUGGUGCUGGAACAAGAGGGAUGACCAAGAGAUCCAAGAAUUCUCAAGAUAAACCUGUACCUUAGCAGUUUCUUUGGUGUUUUCUUCAGACCAUCUACCAAGAAUAUAAUUCUUCUUGCUAUUUAGAGGGACUUUGGUGGUAGUUUGGGAAGCUGUGUGGUCUGAAGAAAAAGCUUUAUGCAUCCAGAGACCCCAUGGCUACAGAGAGACCAGAGUUGCAGGGGUCAGAUGUUUUGAAUCCUGAUCAAGCCGUGUUCUGCUCAUUCUCUGAAUGAGGCAACCUUCCCCAAGAGGCCUGUGGACUCGUCUAAGGCAGCGAGUUUGUCCCAGAACUGGGCCUUGUUUGGUUUUAUCAUUUUUCCCCUUGGUUUCAUGAUCUCUGCUGACAUACUGAAGCUAACACUUGCUGUCUGGGAAGGUGAUUUCCCUAAGGAAUUCAUCACAAGAUGGCCCCUCCCAGUCUCAAGAUUGUUAAAUGAACCGAGAAACAGAUGCAGGGACAAAUGAAUGCUGCUAGUUUAAACACACAAAAUUGCGCUUUAAAGACAUUACACUUUUUUAGCAAGUGAAAUUUUGAGAGCAAAGGUUCAAACCAGAAAUGUCUGAUACAGAAAUCACAACGAUAUUCCAGAGCUUGAUCUUAAGCUGUUUUUGCUUAUUUCAUUUAUUCUUUUAUUUAUCCAAUAUUUCCUUUUAAUUUUUAUUAUGUGCCAAGUAUUUUUCCAAGUUGAUGUAAAAUGGUAGAAUCCUAACAAAAUAAAGAUGGUCUCCAGAGUCAUGAAGAUCACAAUGACCCUUACAAGCAAAUAGAAAUAGAGCGCAUACAUUAACACAACAUAUUCAUAUUACAUGACAUUCACAUAAUGUAACGUAUAACACACAACACAUUGUGAUAUAAAGAAUAUUUUCAUCAUCCACUACAUCACAUAAGGUGGGUUGAGAAAGAUUUGUGUAAUUAGGGUAAUGUAAGUUUUGUGUCAUAUUUAAACUGUAAGAAGAGUUCACAUAUCUCUAGAGAUACUCAGAGCCCUCCUUUGGAGCUCCUGAAAUUAUACAUCAGAGAUUUGUGGAGCUGUUGAUUGCGAAAGACAUGCCCUAAAUAGAUGUCAUGAUUAGAGGAACCCAGCUGGAUUUCAAAUAUGAACACCAAACCCAUAUUUCCUCUGAAUUGUAGGUGAUGAUUUACAAUUGAGCUGCUUUCCCUAGGGCAACUCAGUGCUGGACACUGUACACAAGGGGACAACAAAGAUUUAUGAAAAUUAAAGGUUCUCUGGAGCAAUACCAAGGGGAUGAAUAUGUAGCCUUGAAUAAAGUUUUCUAAUAUGCUCACUUAAUGAAUCAGGUUUGAAUCUGUCUACCCCACACACGCAUUUGGGACAGCCCAAAAAGUGAUCCAGACUGACAUGGCAUGAUUAGCUCACUCUGGCCUUGGACUUGAGGAAUGACUUGGGGAAGAGUUGAAUGUGGAGAUGAGAGCAUGGGUCUCUCUGAUUCUUUACUUGUUCUUGCCUGGAUUUAUCUGCUAUCUAUGGUUAUUGAUCCUAGAUGACAACAGAUGGUUCCCAGCUGGGAUCGCCUCUUGUGUGGAUGAUCUCUGUCAUCUAGGUGAUUGAUGAAUAGGGAAGGAGAAGAGAGUGUCAUCUAUUUCAAUCUGACAUUUCGCCCUAACACUAAAUCCUUAAAAAAAGAAAAAAAAAAAAAAAGAAAAGCUUUAUUGAGACAGAUACCAUACAGUUCACCCAUAUAAAGUACACAAC
Molecule: long non-coding RNA, 2623 nt
Organism: Pteropus alecto (black flying fox)
Lineage: Eukaryota; Metazoa; Chordata; Mammalia; Chiroptera; Pteropodidae
Exons: 2
Source: RefSeq, a predicted model, not a curated record